CAGUCGCCGCGGGAAUACGUAGGUGGCAAGCGUUGUCCGGAAUUAUUGGGCGUAAAGCGCGCGCAGGUGGUUUAAUAAGUCUGAUGUGAAAGCCCACGGCUCAACCGUGGAGGGUCAUUGGAAACUGUUAAACUUGAGUGCAGGAGAGAAAAGUGGAAUUCCUAGUGUAGCGGUGAAAUGCGUAGAGAUUAGGAGGAACACCAGUGGCGAAGGCGGCUUUUUGGCCUGUAACUGACACUGAGGCGCGAAAGCGUGGGGAGCAAACAGGAUUAGAGACCCCUGUAGUCCCUGUCUCUUAUAC
Molecule: ribosomal RNA, 301 nt
Filed under: uncultured bacterium
Lineage: Bacteria
Description: partial 16S ribosomal RNA
Rfam family: Bacterial small subunit ribosomal RNA
Source: RNAcentral